Transfer RNA from Felis catus (domestic cat), 85 nucleotides. It matches the Rfam family "tRNA". Rfam says of the family: Transfer RNA (tRNA) molecules are approximately 80 nucleotides in length. Their secondary structure includes four short double-helical elements and three loops (D, anti-codon, and T loops). The record is from Rfam. NCBI's taxonomy places the organism in Eukaryota, Metazoa, Chordata, Mammalia, Carnivora, Felidae.
GUCUGGGUGGCUCAGUCGGUUAAGCGUCUGACUUUGGCUCAGGUCAUGAUCUCGAGGUUUGUGGGUUCGAGCCCCACAUCAGGCU